RNAcentral lists this ribosomal RNA (553 nucleotides) under Rhodococcus sp. (in: high G+C Gram-positive bacteria). RNAcentral describes it as "bacterial SSU rRNA". It matches the Rfam family "Bacterial small subunit ribosomal RNA", at positions 186 to 753 of the family's 1533-position model. Lineage: Bacteria; Bacillati; Actinomycetota; Actinomycetes; Mycobacteriales; Nocardiaceae. The record is from RNAcentral.
UUGCAUGACUUGGGGUGGAAAGAUUUAUCGGUGCAGGAUGGGCCCGCGGCCUAUCAGCUUGUUGGUGGGGUAAUGGCCUACCAAGGCGACGACGGGUAGCCGACCUGAGAGGGUGACCGGCCACACUGGGACUGAGACACGGCCCAGACUCCUACGGGAGGCAGCAGUGGGGAAUAUUGCACAAUGGGCGAAAGCCUGAUGCAGCGACGCCGCGUGAGGGAUGACGGCCUUCGGGUUGUAAACCUCUUUCAGCAGGGACGAAGCGCAAGUGACGGUACCUGCAGAAGAAGCACCGGCUAACUACGUGCCAGCAGCCGCGGUAAUACGUAGGGUGCAAGCGUUGUCCGGAAUUACUGGGCGUAAAGAGUUCGUAGGCGGUUUGUCGCGUCGUUUGUGAAAACCAGCAGCUCAACUGCUGGCUUGCAGGCGAUACGGGCAGACUUGAGUACUGCAGGGGAGACUGGAAUUCCUGGUGUAGCGGUGAAAUGCGCAGAUAUCAGGAGGAACACCGGUGGCGAAGGCGGGUCUCUGGGCAGUAACUGACGCUGAGGAA